GCUUCUCUUGAGAGCGGCGGACGGGUGAGUAAUGCCCACGAAUCUGCCUGGUAGUGGGGGAUAACGUUCGGAAACGGACGCUAAUACCGCAUACGUCCUACGGGAGAAAGCAGGGGACCUUCGGGCCUUGCGCUAUCAGAUGAGCCUAGGUCGGAUUAGCUAGUUGGUGGGGNAAUGGCUCACCAAGGCGACGAUCCGUAACUGGUCUGAGAGGAUGAUCAGUCACACUGGAACUGAGACACGGUCCAGACUCCUACGGGAGGCAGCAGUGGGGAAUAUUGGACAAUGGGCGAAAGCCUGAUCCAGCCAUGCCGCGUGUGUGAAGAAGGUCUUCGGAUUGUAAAGCACUUUAAGUUGGGAGGAAGGGCAGUUACUUAAUACGUAAUUGUUUUGACGUUACCGACAGAAUAAGCACCGGCUAACUCUGUGCCAGCAGCCGCGGUAAUACAGAGGGUGCAAGCGU
Molecule: ribosomal RNA, 463 nt
Filed under: uncultured Pseudomonadota bacterium
Lineage: Bacteria; Pseudomonadati; Pseudomonadota
Description: bacterial SSU rRNA
Rfam family: Bacterial small subunit ribosomal RNA
Source: RNAcentral